ACCACCUCAGCCGCCUCUAGCAGCUGUUGUCCUCACCACCGCUGCUAGUCACCGCCGCUGCAACAUCCACCUCUUCCCUGAUUUAUUUUUGUUUUGUUCUUCAUUACAGGUUGAGUCAUCGUAAACAAUAAGGAAAGCAGAAGCAGCAAGGCGAUGGACAUGGAUACGGAAGAUACCCUAUAAAAAGCAUGCUUAGUGAAGCACUAGCCCCUUUGCUCUUAGUUAGUGAACAGAGGACUGUGCGACAUUCAAGUGUGGGGGAGGUUUAGAGCAGAAAUUUUGGUUGUAAAGACACUUCUUCCAAACACCUUCACAUUUUAUUUUUUACUAUUAUGUUUUUUAGAUUUUCUGUUAGCUAUUUGGUUACUUUGAAUUCUCUUUUAGUAGUUGCAUUUUAUUUUGGUUUGUGUAUAACUUUGUUAUCUUUUCUAGUUUUACUUUUUGUUAAUUGCAUUUCAUUUUGGUUUGAACAUAGCUUAGAUAUCUAUUCUAGCUUUAGUAUAUUUUCUUCUCUUAAUAUGGUUUGUACAUAUAUCUUUUUAUCUUUUAGUUGUGAUUGGAUAAUGUGGAUAAUAGGACCUAGUUCAUUUUUCUUUCUGCACGUGAUGAUUUGGAUUGAUAGAGAAUAGGAAAAGGACUUAGAAAUUUUUGCUUUUCAUCAAACCACAUCAUACAUAUAUACACAUAUAAUAAGUUUAGUCAAAAUAAUUAAUUUUCAAGAUAAUUUUCUUAUAGGGCAACCCAUUGAUUUGAGUUAAAGUUUUUAUUGAACUUACUCGAAAAACAUUGUAGAACAUAGAUUAGAGCUAGAACAUGCAAUCAAGUGAGAUUUGAGCUCUAAUGUGUGGUUGUAUUAUAUUAACCACUAUUUUAUUCUUGUGUGUAUUAUUCUCUUUCUAUGAUUGUAAUCUUUGAUUUGUUAAUUCUUUAUUUCCAAUAUUUUUUGUAUGAAUGCAUUUACAUGAUUGAGGUUUCUAUUUUAUUAGAACUCACUUACCCAAAUAGCCUUACCCUUUCUAUUUACCAUUGUUAUUCAAUUUCGAGCUUUUUUAAUCCCCUUUUAUUCUAAUGUUUAGCACAAUACCACCCCUAAGUGAAAAACAAUAUAUGUCUUAAUUUAGAUCUUUGAUUAGCUUAGAUUAGUAAGUGUGUAUCAUCUAAGUGGUGGGGAAUGGAGUUUGAGAAUAUGUGUAGAGAGUAAAAUGGGUAUUUUGGAUUUUUGUUAAAAAUUUUUGGAAUUAGCUACAUAUUCAUACAUUAAAUGUUUAAAUCAUAUGCAUUAAUCCCUUGUGUAUAUAUUAUGUUUCAAAAGAAAAGGAAAAAAAAAAAGGGGGACAAAUGUUACUUUAAAAGUAAAGUUAAAAAAAGAAAUAAAAUGCAUGUCAUGUGUUGAAAAAAAUGCAUGUGUGUGUGGAAGAAAGUGAAUAAUGGUAGCUAGAUUUUGUAUUAGAGUUGAAUAGGUUGUCAUAGGUUUGGUGCGAGUUUAAGUUAAUCAAAGAUUCAAUUUCAAGUUCACUUAGUCAAAUACAAUCCUACCUUGACCUUAGUUACAUUACUACCCUUGAAAAGCUCUCAUGAUACUUGCACGCAUACAUUGCCAAUUUUAAUUCACUUUUCUUCCAUUCGACGUCUUGAUAUGUUUGUUUGAAUGAUUUAAGGUUUUGAAGGUAAGGAUGACUUGAAGAAGUGGAAGAAAAGCAUGCAAAGUGGAAGAAUUCAUGAAGAAAUGAAGGAUUUGCAAAGUUGUCAAUCCUGACCUCUUCACACUAAAUUGAUCAUAACUUGAGCUACAAAGGUCCAAAUAAGGUGAUUCCAAAGGUCCAAUCCAACUCAUUUCUAAUGCUAUUGAACCAAAGAUUGAAAGGGGAUGAAGGAAGUAGUAUAGUUUAGAUUUUUAUUAUGUAUUAGGACAAUUCUAGAGAGAGAAGCUCCAACUUCUCUCUAGAAUUUAGAGUUUUUUAGUUUAAUUUUUCCUUAAAUUUAGUUUUUAAUCUUGUUUUAGUUUAGUUUUCUAUAUUUUUUCUUAUUCUAUCCUUUUAAUUCACUUACCUUUUAUUGUUAGUUUCUUGUUUUAUGCUAUUUUAGUUUCAUGAACACUUGUGAAUUUGGUUUUCUAUUAAUGUAAUCUUGAUGUUUUUCA
This is a long non-coding RNA of Arachis ipaensis, 2140 nucleotides long. RefSeq lists it as uncharacterized. NCBI's taxonomy places the organism in Eukaryota, Viridiplantae, Streptophyta, Magnoliopsida, Fabales, Fabaceae. The record is from RefSeq and is a predicted model, not a curated record.